RNAcentral lists this ribosomal RNA (253 nucleotides) under uncultured bacterium. RNAcentral describes it as "partial 16S ribosomal RNA". It matches the Rfam family "Bacterial small subunit ribosomal RNA", at positions 524 to 776 of the family's 1533-position model. The record is from RNAcentral.
UACGGAGGGUGCAAGCGUUAUCCGGAUUCACUGGGUUUAAAGGGUGCGUAGGUGGAUUGGUAAGUCCGUGGUGAAAUCCCCGAGCUUAACUCAGGAACUGCCGUGGAUACUAUCAAUCUUGAAUACUGUGGAGGUAAGCGGAAUAUGUCAUGUAGCGGUGAAAUGCUUAGAUAUGACAUAGAACACCAAUUGCGAAGGCAGCUUGCUACACGGUUAUUGACACUGAGGCACGAAAGCGUGGGGAUCAAACAGG